RNAcentral lists this transfer RNA (66 nucleotides) under Zaranga tukuringra. Its description in RNAcentral is "tRNA-Glu". Lineage: Eukaryota; Metazoa; Arthropoda; Insecta; Lepidoptera; Notodontidae. The record is from RNAcentral.
AUUUAUAUAGUUUAAAAAAACAUUACAUUUUCACUGUAAAAAUAAAAAAUUUUUUUUUUAUAAAUA